AGAGUUUGAUCCUGGCUCAGAUUGAACGCUGGCGGCAUGCCUUACACAUGCAAGUCGAACGGUAACGCGGGGGCAACCCUGGCGACGAGUGGCGAACGGGUGAGUAAUACAUCGGAACAUAUCCAGUAGCGGGGGAUAACCUAUCGAAAGAUGGACUAAUACCGCAUACGAUCUACGGAUGAAAGCAGGGGACCGCAAGGCCUUGCACUAUUGGAGUGGCCGAUGUCGGAUUAGCUAGUUGGUGGGGUAAAGGCUUACCAAGGCGACGAUCCGUAGCUGGUCUGAGAGGACGAUCAGCCACACUGGAACUGAGACACGGUCCAGACUCCUACGGGAGGCAGCAGUGGGGAAUUUUGGACAAUGGGCGCAAGCCUGAUCCAGCCAUGCCGCGUGAGUGAAGAAGGCCUUCGGGUUGUAAAGCUCUUUCGGUGAAGACGAAACGGUUAGCGCUAAUAACGCUGACUAAUGACGGUACUCACAGAAGAAGCACCGGCUAACUACGUGCCAGCAGCCGCGGUAAUACGUAGGGUGCAGGCGUUAAUCGGACUUACUGGGCGUAAAGCGUGCGCAGGCGGUUUGCUAAGACAGGUGUGAAAUCCCCGGGCUUAACCUGGGAAUUGCGCUUGUAACUGGCAAGCUAGAGUGUGGCAGAGGGGGGUGGAAUUCCACGUGUAGCAGUGAAAUGCGUAGAUAUGUGAGGAACACCGAUGGCGAAGGCAGCCCCCUGGGUUAACACUGACGCUCAUGCACGAAAGCGUGGGGAGCAAACAGGAUUAGAUACCCUGGUAGUCCACGCCCUAAACUAUGUCAACUAGUUGUCGGGGAAGAAAUUCCUUGGUAACGAAGCUAACGCGUGAAGUUGACCGCCUGGGGAGUACGGCCGCAAGGUUAAAACUCAAAGGAAUUGACGGGGACCCGCACAAGCGGUGGAUUAUGUGGAUUAAUUCGAUGCAACGCGAAAAACCUUACCUACCCUUGACAUGCUAGGAAGCCCGCAGAGAUGUGGGUGUGCCCGAAAGGGAACCUAGACACAGGUGCUGCAUGGCUGUCGUCAGCUCGUGUCGUGAGAUGUUGGGUUAAGUCCCGCAACGAGCGCAACCCUUGCCAUUAGUUGCUACAUUCAGUUGGGCACUCUAAUGGGACCGCCGGUGACAAACCGGAGGAAGGUGGGGAUGACGUCAAGUCCUCAUGGCCCUUAUGGGUAGGGCUUCACACGUAAUACAAUGGUCGGUACAGAGGGCUGCCAACCCGCAAGGGGGAGCUAAUCCCAGAAAGCCGAUCGUAGUCCGGAUUGUAGUCUGCAACUCGACUGCAUGAAGCCGGAAUCGCUAGUAAUCGCGGAUCAGCAUGUCGCGGUGAAUACGUUCCCGGGUCUUGUACACACCGCCCGUCACACCAUGGGAGUGGGUUCCACCAGAAGUAGUUAGCCUAACCGCAAGGAGGGCGAUUACCACGGUGAGAUUCAUGACUGGGGUGAAGUCGUAACAAGGUA
Molecule: ribosomal RNA, 1492 nt
Filed under: metagenome
Description: bacterial SSU rRNA
Rfam family: Bacterial small subunit ribosomal RNA
Source: RNAcentral